GAUGAACGCUGGCGGCAUGCCUAACACAUGCAAGUCGAUCGGUAAGGCUCUUCGGAGUACACGAGAGGCGGACGGCUGAGUAACGCGUUGGAACACACCCUGCAGUGAGGGAUAAGACACCGAAAGGUGUUCUAAUACCGCAUACGGUCUUCGGAUUAAAGCAUUUAUGCGCUGAAGGAGUGGCCUGCGUCAUAUUAGAUAGUUGGUGAGGUAAUGGCUCACCAAGUCGAUGAUGUGUAGCUGGUCUGAGAGGAUGAUCAGCCAGACUGGAACUGAGACACGGUCCAGACUCCUACGGGAGGCAGCAGUGAGGAAUAUUUCACAAUGAGCGAAAGCGUGAUGGAGCAAUGCCGCGUGCAGGAUGAAGGCCCUCGGGUUGUAAACUGCUUUUAUAAGAGAAGAUUAUGACGGUAACUUAUGAAUAAGGGACGGCUAACUACGUG
RNAcentral lists this ribosomal RNA (443 nucleotides) under uncultured bacterium. RNAcentral's name for it is "partial 16S ribosomal RNA". It matches the Rfam family "Bacterial small subunit ribosomal RNA", at positions 28 to 507 of the family's 1533-position model. The record is from RNAcentral.